Erinaceus europaeus (western European hedgehog) is the source of this 828-nucleotide long non-coding RNA. RefSeq lists it as uncharacterized. The transcript is spliced from 3 exons. Lineage: Eukaryota; Metazoa; Chordata; Mammalia; Eulipotyphla; Erinaceidae. The record is from RefSeq and is a predicted model, not a curated record.
GGGUCUGCCAUUAGCUCCACUCUUGAGGCUGUAGAUUCCCUCGGCCCUGGAUACAGAGGGAGACCCACAACCCCCUUUGGGACCACAUUGGGUGGGAAGACUCCAUUAGGCACCUAUGCUAUUCAGAUGCCUGGUGGGGAGGAGUCAGAAGAGCAUUCUAGACUAGAGAGGUGUGUGAGCUCUAGCAGCAUAGUUAUGACACUAAAGGUGACAAAGGAUGAAGGUGGAGCCUUCACACUAAGAGUAGAGCAGAAGAGGAAGCAGAAAGGAGCUCAGUGGAGGAACAGGAUGGGAGGAGUAUGUGGCAUGUGAGAACCAGCUGAAGAAGCCACUCCAAGUAAGCAGAAAUGACAGUCCUGGAACCUUAGGGUGGGGUGCACUUUCCUGCAUGCUUCUCUCAAGUCAUACCAAAUAAUACUGCAUCUGCCACUCCCAACCUAAUCAACACAACGAGUGCCACCUCAGCAUGCUUCACUUCAGACUGUAUCCAGAGACUUCAGGUGUGGAAUGACAACCCUUCAGCUUCAUUACUCAGCCACCAGGUUCCAGAUGCUAGCAUGAUGUGGACCAGAUUUCCCUGGACAGAGGACCCCACCAGUUUGUCCUGGAGCUCCACUUUCCCAGAGCCCCACUCUACUAGGGAAAGAGAGAGGGAGGCUGGGAGUAUGGAUCAACCAGUCAACGCCCAUGUUCAGCAAGGAAGCAAUUACAGAAGCCAGACCUUCCACCUUCUGCAUCCCACAAUUACCUUGGGUCCAUACUCCUAGAGGGAUAAAGAAUAGGAAAGCUAUCAGAGGAGGGGAGGGGAUACAGAGAUACGGAGAUCUG